Quercus robur (English oak) is the source of this 810-nucleotide long non-coding RNA. RefSeq lists it as uncharacterized. The transcript is spliced from 2 exons. Lineage: Eukaryota; Viridiplantae; Streptophyta; Magnoliopsida; Fagales; Fagaceae. The record is from RefSeq and is a predicted model, not a curated record.
CCUAUCAUUUAUUUUCAGUAUUUUGUUAUUAAAUUCUAACAGCAAAUCUAAGCACGAGCACCAAAAGUGAUGCGGUCUAAGUUAGACUAAACCGAAAUAACGAAUUAUCGCUUUCUUCAUAAGGAAUCCCCAAUUUAAAACCCUAGACACCAAAUUCUCUCAAAUUCUCCGCGACACUCCAAAACACUAUGAUUUUGCAUUACUAUAUGUUACUUGAGACAGUGGAAUGUUUUCUUGGUAAAUUUAAUAGUCUUCCUUUGUCCUCAUUCCUAAUACCGAACCCAUAAAGUAGUUUUAGACCUCCUUCCGUAAUCCUCAGCCUUGACACUAAACACAGAAAGCUCCAUUACGUGCUCUGCUCCUCGAUCAGAUCGAUGGUGAUCAAUAAUAUGAGGAGUCAGACAGCAUAGCUCGCUGCAUCGACCACUGGAGGUUUCGCACUCACUGUUGCUCUUACCCCUUCUUCGCUCGUAGAGUUCCGAUCACCGUUGCUCUUAUCCCUUCGUUUGCGAGGUGUUUGGCUCAAAGGAAAAUUAACAAGAGUAGUAAGAAUAGAGGACACCAGAUGAAGAAACCGACCAACACCAAACUUCUCAUUCAAAUGGAGUCUUAGACCGAAAUGGGAGGGAGUAGAGCAAUGGGUUUGGGAGCUGAAGAAAAAUAAAAUGAAGUGUGACGUAUAGGAAAAAUGUUGGUUGGUUUGAAAAUAAAUUAUGACCGUUGAUGGGGAGCAAAGCUUGAACUGUCAUGUGACAACACUAUAAUUGUGGGUCCCAUUCUAUGAGAGAAAUUACCAUUAUGCCACCAUAA